UAGCUUCAGGAGGUGGGAGUUACAGUGC
This 28-nucleotide non-coding RNA is filed under the name Mus musculus (house mouse). Lineage: Eukaryota; Metazoa; Chordata; Mammalia; Rodentia; Muridae. The record is from RNAcentral.